Molecule: ribosomal RNA, 253 nt
Filed under: uncultured bacterium
Lineage: Bacteria
Description: partial 16S ribosomal RNA
Rfam family: Bacterial small subunit ribosomal RNA
Source: RNAcentral
UACGUAGGGUCCGAGCGUUGUCCGGAGUUACUGGGCGUAAAGCGCGCGCAGGCGGCGGUGUUGGCCCGGCGUGAAAGCCCCCGGCUCAACCGGGGAGAGUCGUCGGGGACCGCACCGCUUGAAGGCGGUAGGGGCUGGUGGAAUGCCUGGUGUAGUGGUGAAAUGCGUAGAGAUCAGGCAGAACACCUGGGGCGAAGGCGGCCAGCUGGGCCGUCCCUGGCGCUGAGGCGCGAAGGCGUGGGGAGCGAACGGG